GUUGCAGCUCAGUGGUAGAGCACACUUGCCUGGCAUGUGUGAGGCCCUGGGUUCGAUCCUCAGCACCACA
Molecule: transfer RNA, 70 nt
Filed under: Marmota monax (woodchuck)
Lineage: Eukaryota; Metazoa; Chordata; Mammalia; Rodentia; Sciuridae
Description: tRNA.Ala
Source: RNAcentral